Molecule: ribosomal RNA, 253 nt
Filed under: uncultured bacterium
Lineage: Bacteria
Description: partial 16S ribosomal RNA
Rfam family: Bacterial small subunit ribosomal RNA
Source: RNAcentral
CACGGGGGGAGCAAGCGUUGUUCGGAAGCACUGGGCGUAAAGGGCGUGUAGGCGGGCAAGUAGGUGAGAUGUGAAAUGCUCCGGCUUACCCGGAGACCGGCAUCUCAAACCGCUUGGCUUGAGUACGGGAGAGGGUGUGGGAAUUCCUGGUGUAGCGGUGAAAUGCGUAGAUAUCAGGAGGAACACCGGUGGCGAAGGCGCACACCUGGCCCGAUACUGACGCUGAGGCGCGAAAGCUAGGGGAGCAAACGGG